CAGGAGAGACAAGCAGUGUAUAGUAAGGUCGAGAGAUAACGGUGACACUCUCAGAGCAUUGGCACAGUCGAUCCUAUCGUUAGGAAAAUGUAACGUUGUGCCUCUCUUAUGUCUUGCAACAAAUGGGAGCUUGCAACAAAUGAGCAGGGCGAACAGCCCGAUACCAGCAACAGUUCUGCUGACUUUAAUCAGUCAGCAGAACAGAUACGAUCUGCAAUCGCAAAAUAUUGUGUAGACCCACUUCCAACAGAUCAUUUUGAAAUUUCGUUUGUGUGCUGAUUAGGUCCUGCACCAUCUUCUCCUGCCUCACGUCGUGCUCUUCCUUCUUUCUGUGGUGGUCCUUCUGUUCUUCGAGACGUUCCCGGGCGAUCUCUGCAAGCCACGAAAUGUCGGUCUUUUUCUUUUUCUUUGACGGACGCCCAGACAAGGUGCUGGAGCUACAAGAUCCGUCCA
Molecule: long non-coding RNA, 453 nt
Organism: Drosophila miranda
Lineage: Eukaryota; Metazoa; Arthropoda; Insecta; Diptera; Drosophilidae
Exons: 2
Source: RefSeq, a predicted model, not a curated record